Long non-coding RNA from Eptesicus fuscus (big brown bat), 959 nucleotides. RefSeq lists it as uncharacterized. Lineage: Eukaryota; Metazoa; Chordata; Mammalia; Chiroptera; Vespertilionidae. The transcript is spliced from 3 exons. The record is from RefSeq and is a predicted model, not a curated record.
CGACCCAGAAUCUGGUCCCCGCCUCUUCCGGGUUUACUUCCGGUGCCCCACAGGGUCCCGGUCCAACCCGGCUGUGGUGAAACCUGUGGCUCGAGCGUCGGGAGGGUCCGGCGAGCUCCCCGCGCGGGGGUGUCAGUGCAGUGACGCUUAUCUCAGUAAUCUAAACGGCAGUUACACCUCAGCAACGCUGUUGAGGAAAAACUUGGCCAAAGGCGGAGACCUUUUCUUCUAACUUGGUGUCAGGAGAUUUGUCUCAGCUGUGUAUCUGCACCUUCAUCUAAGCAGCAAGGAGACUGGCCUGGCCUCUUGGUUUAUUGUCACUAAACAAGUGUUAUGGAUCCCCAGCGACGUGCGAGUGCUAGGCACGCUGGGGAGAGAGCGGGAAGGACGCAGGGUCGAGGAUGGCAACUAGAGAGUAACCGGAAGGAAACGACUAGACAGUAGUUUGGUCGAGUUGUGGCUGGUGACAUGUGGUAUGAUCCUCUCUCAGGAUGCUGGACAGUGGCUGUGAGCUGCAGCUCCCAGGCAGAGAGGAAGGGAGAGGUAUAGAGAGCUAGAAACAUCGAUCGGCCGCCUCCUACACAUCCCCCACUGGGGAUGUGCCUGCAACCAAGGUACAUGCCCUUGACCGGAAUCGAAGCUGGGACCCUUCAGUCCGCAGGCUGACGCUCUAUCCACUGAGCCACACCGGUUUCAGCCUCACUUUCAUUUAAAUCUCUGUUGUAUCUGAAAUAUAUUUUGGUGUGAAGAGGCAGGAGCCCAUCUUUGCUCUGUUGCUCCCCCAGCUGUGUCGGCAGCACACUUUCUCUCGUGCACGUGGACCUAGCCACCACCAGUAAGCUUGAUUUCCAUGUGUUGCUGAAGUUACUUCUGCAUCUUCAUUCUGUUCCCCUGCAGGCUAACCACACUGUGCAACCAUUCAAAGUAUCUCUAAAGAACUAAUGUGCAAACUAUAAUAA